RNAcentral lists this microRNA (24 nucleotides) under Homo sapiens (human). Its description in RNAcentral is "hsa-miR-4649-5p". The record is from miRBase by way of RNAcentral. Lineage: Eukaryota; Metazoa; Chordata; Mammalia; Primates; Hominidae.
UGGGCGAGGGGUGGGCUCUCAGAG